GACGAACGCUGGCGGCGUGCUUAACACAUGCAAGUCGAACGAGAGCGUAGAGAAAGCUUGCUUUUUCUACAAUCUAGUGGCAAACGGGUGAGUAACGCGUAAACAACCUGCCCUACGGAUGGGGACAACAGCUGGAAACGGCUGCUAAUACCGAAUACGUUCCGAAAGUCGCAUGACUAUCGGAAGAAAGGAUGGCCUCUACUUAUAAGCUAUCGCCGGAGGAGGGGUUUGCGUCUGAUUAGCUAGUUGGAGGGGUAACGGCCCACCAAGGCGACGAUCAGUAGCCGGUCUGAGAGGAUGAACGGCCACAUUGGAACUGAGACACGGUCCAGACUCCUACGGGAGGCAGCAGUGGGGAAUCUUCCGCAAUGGGCGAAAGCCUGACGGAGCAACGCCGCGUGAGUGAAGACGGCCUUCGGGUUGUAAAGCUCUGUUAUACGGGACGAAUAAUCUUGUGGUUAAUACCCAUGAGAAGUGACGGUACCGUAAGAGAAAGCCACGGCUAACUACGUG
Molecule: ribosomal RNA, 513 nt
Filed under: uncultured bacterium
Lineage: Bacteria
Description: partial 16S ribosomal RNA
Rfam family: Bacterial small subunit ribosomal RNA
Source: RNAcentral